RNAcentral lists this ribosomal RNA (465 nucleotides) under Vreelandella stevensii. RNAcentral describes it as "partial 16S ribosomal RNA". It matches the Rfam family "Bacterial small subunit ribosomal RNA", at positions 338 to 795 of the family's 1533-position model. The record is from RNAcentral. Lineage: Bacteria; Pseudomonadati; Pseudomonadota; Gammaproteobacteria; Oceanospirillales; Halomonadaceae.
CCUACGGGAGGCAGCAGUGGGGAAUAUUGGACAAUGGGGGCAACCCUGAUCCAGCCAUGCCGCGUGUGUGAAGAAGGCCCUCGGGUUGUAAAGCACUUUCAGUGAGGAAGAACGCCUGGUGGUUAAUACCCAUCAGGAAAGACAUCACUCACAGAAGAAGCACCGGCUAACUCCGCGCCAGCAGCCGCGGUAAUACGGAGGGUGCGAGCGUUAAUCGGAAUUACUGGGCGUAAAGCGCGCGUAGGUGGCUUGAUAAGCCGGUUGUGAAAGCCCCGGGCUCAACCUGGGAACGGCAUCCGGAACUGUCAAGCUAGAGUGCAGGAGAGGAAGGUAGAAUUCCCGGUGUAGCGGUGAAAUGCGUAGAGAUCGGGAGGAAUACCAGUGGCGAAGGCGGCCUUCUGGACUGACACUGACACUGAGGUGCGAAAGCGUGGGUAGCAAACAGGAUUAGAUACCCGUGUAGUC